This 224-nucleotide long non-coding RNA is filed under the name Daucus carota (carrot). Its description in RNAcentral is "long non-coding RNA (DCAR_LNC002698)". The record is from RNAcentral. Lineage: Eukaryota; Viridiplantae; Streptophyta; Magnoliopsida; Apiales; Apiaceae.
UUGACUUAGAAAAUUUUUCUAAGUAAUAGAAUAUGAAUGAGCCGGGACGAGAUUGCUUGACAUGACUCCGGACGGGAUUGCUUGCUUUACAAAUAUUUGCCUUAGUAAAUUUUUCUAAGUAAUAGAGUAUGAAUGAGGCCGGACGAGAUUGCUGGGAAUGAGUCUCGACGAGAUUGCUCGGCAUGAGUCCGGACGGGAUUGCUCGACAUGUGUCCGGACGGGAU